This 447-nucleotide ribosomal RNA is filed under the name uncultured bacterium. Its description in RNAcentral is "bacterial SSU rRNA". It matches the Rfam family "Bacterial small subunit ribosomal RNA", at positions 28 to 489 of the family's 1533-position model. The record is from RNAcentral.
GACGAACGCUGGCGGCGUGCCUAACACAUGCAAGUCGAGCGAAUGAAGUUCCUUCGGGAACGGAUUUAGCGGCGGACGGGUGAGUAACACGUGGGCAACCUGCCUCAUAGAGGGGAAUAGCCUUCCGAAAGGGAGAUUAAUACCGCAUAAGAUUGUAGUACCGCAUGGUACAGCAAUUAAAGGAGCAAUCCGCUAUGAGAUGGGCCCGCGGCGCAUUAGCUAGUUGGUGAGGUAACGGCUCACCAAGGCGACGAUGCGUAGCCGACCUGAGAGGGUGAUCGGCCACAUUGGGACUGAGACACGGCCCAGACUCCUACGGGAGGCAGCAGUGGGGAAUAUUGCACAAUGGGGGGAAACCCUGAUGCAGCAACGCCGCGUGAGUGAUGACGGCCUCGGUUGUAAAGGCUCUGUCUUCAGGGACGAGUAAUGACGGUACCUGAGGAGGAA